GUGCUCGAUUCGGCAGCACAUAUACUAAAAUUGGAACGAUACAGAGAAGAUUAACAUGGCCCCUGUGCAAGGAUGACACGCAAAUUCAUGAAGCAUUCCAUAUUUUU
Molecule: small nuclear RNA, 107 nt
Filed under: Octodon degus (degu)
Lineage: Eukaryota; Metazoa; Chordata; Mammalia; Rodentia; Octodontidae
Source: RNAcentral